GAUCAGAUUGCCAGGUCUUUCUCCUGUGGAGCCGCUGAGUGGGUUUGAACCACCAACUUUUGGUUAGCAUCCAAGAGCUUAACACCACCAGGGCUCCUUUACUCUGUGCUGCUUAGUUAUUUUAUACCUUAUUUUGGCCCCUUAAAAUCCUAAUUACUAUUUUCAUUUAAUGAAGAAACAGGCUCAGAGAGAAUUAUUUGCCCAGUAUCACAACUAGUAAGUGUUUGAGCUGGAAGUCAGACUCAAGUUUGAAUUCCAACAUCUCACAUGACUUCUCAGUUUUGAGGCGCUGUUCAAAUACCACCUGUUUCUAGAGCCAUCACAUGUUAGGUUAGUUCUAGACGAUGCUGUUACUCUUGACUUUGUAUCUACUUUCUAGCUGUAAGAGGUCCAGGCAUAAGCAAUACCUUGAUAAGAUGAAAACAUUUAAAAUUUAUUUUCUGUUUUUUGUCCCAAAUCAGUUAAGAAGACUUUGAUUUUCUGCUUUAGCCUCUGGCAAUAUGAUCAGAUCCUUUUUUCAGUGAAAGUGGUACCUCUUCUGUCUUUUCUUGAUGUGAGUCUGGGGCAUGUUUUGAAGGAGAUUGUCCUUCAGUUAACUCUUUCAGGAACUCAAAUACUGAAAUGGUACUGUUGGAGUGGGGUUUCACUUCGUGUAAAUGUUUAAAAGAACAACUUUAUCUGAUUAUAGAAGUAAUAUACUUUCAUACAUUCAGAUAGAAAUAUACUUCAGAAAGUGAAAGUGCCCUGUGAUCUUUCUUCUUUCUUUGCUGGUCUGAUUGGUGAUUGACACAUACAUUUUUCCAUGUACAUAUAUAUUCAUAGGUAUAGAGAUGUAUUUAUGUGUUUGUGUCUAUGAGGUAUCCCUCACUUUAUAAACCUAUUAACUUUUUGAAUUUCAGUAGUGAGUUUGGAUACUAAGGAAUUCAUCCUUGUUUUUUUUCCUUGAGUGGGUAUAGUGAGAGUUCAGAUAGUGAAGAAAUCCUGUAAUUUGGAAUCAUACUGUUACACGGUUUUCUUCUUUCAUCCACUAUAUCUUGCAGAGCAUUUUAGGGCAAUUUUUGCUAAAGAUUUGGAGAGAUUCCUCAAAUUGUCAAUGAGUGAAUGAUUCAAAACUCCAAGAGAGCAGUACGAUUUUUUAAAAUCUAAAACCUUUAUUUCUACUCAAAAUUUCAUUAAGAAAUAAAGUAGGCACUACCCAUGCUGAUUUCUUCAAAGUUCUGAACUGUUUCAAAGAUCUGAGCAGUCCAGUCAAGACUCCCCUGCCUUUGGCAGUACAGACAAAAAGCACUUUUUUCCAUAGUCCAGCACCAUGGACAAGUGCUGUUAACUGACUCUCCUUUGACCCUGUUAGUCCCAAGGAGAUUGAGCAACAGUGACGACAUUCAAGUACAAUUUUCCCUGUCUUAUUUGGGCACUAGGAGGGGACUGCUUUAACGGGCAGAUCAGAAUAUCAGACAUGCAAAAAAUUCUCAUGGUGGUACAAAAUAGAUUAAUGGAUAUCUCUUGCUUACAUAUAUUAUCUUUUGGGGAUGAAAAAGUUACCAAUUCUACAUGUUCUCAGAAGAAAGAAGCAUUGUCAGAUGUCACAUGACCCCCAAAGACCCUGGCCAGCCAAAGCAAGAUGGACCUGUGGUCUCUGACACAUUCUACCACCCAGUUCUUCCAGAGUUUCUGAACAGAACUUUUCAUAUAUUAUGGAUAUUAACCCCAUAUCUGUGAUCCAGUUGGUUUUCCCUGUCUUUGGAGUUGGUAUAUGAAUAUUUGUUGAUGAAAUGGAAUCAUUUGUCCUGAGUUUUCCACAGUUUGGAUUUUGGUGAUUGCAUCCACAUGGUGUAUUUAAAAUGUUUCUCUGAGCUCUAGUUCCCAUGACCCGGUGAUCGGAUCGAGAGGUCUGCUGAGAUUCAGGUUUGUGUAGGCACCACCAUUCAUAGGGGGUGGAGUGUUUUUCCAUCAAGCAGCACAUAAUGUCUGCUUAUCUCUCCUGUUACCAUGUUAGCAGCCUGGCUGUUCCAUUCUUAGAUUCUGUGAUUGUUGGUGGUAUUUUAAUUGUUAAUCCAUUUUAUCCUCAUUUAUUUGCUAGAAUAUUUCUGUAAAGAGAAACUUUAUUUUAUCCAUGUUACCUUUUAGUAUAGUCUGUAGAGGAAAUGUAGGACAAACUCUUACAGUUUAUUUACCAGUUUUUCAAAAAAGAGUUCCCUAGCUUCCACCAAGGUGCCUGAUUAAGGUUUUUUUGUUUUGUUUUGUUUUGUUUUUAAGUAUUCUGAACAUUCUUAAACAUAAAACAUUCGUUUGAUCUAUUACAGUUAUUAUUCUUACGGAUGCUAAAAUUGUCGUAUCUUUGGCCAGUGGGAACCUCUUUCAGAGGUCCUUUUGACAUAUCGUGGUAGUCUUUGAUAACCCCUGAUGAGAUGUUCCAGGCUCAUUUUGUAUAUUUCUUGCCCAUAUUUGGAAUCAUCCAUUUCUCCAAAAAUAUAUGGUUUCUUUUAGCAUGAAACGGUAUUUCAAGACCUUAAUCUGAGUUUUUGGAGUACUUCCUGCUACUGUUUUGGUCAUUGCUUCUAGGGGGAAAAUUGUGUGUGUGUGUGUGAAAAUACAGUACAUCAUUAGUUUAUAUGGUGCUUCCAAUUCAAAUUUAGAACUACAGGGUUUUUUCUAUCUUCUGUCUUACAGUUCUCUACUUUUCCAUAUUGAGAAUCCUGGUGUUCAAGGAAGCUGGUGAUGAUAAAAUUAAAAUGUCACAUAAUCACUCAUUUGCUUUAUCCUCCUUUAAACACAUGACAGUCUCAACAAUAUCAAUACCAUGCCAGCAAUAUGAUUACUGAAAGCAGUUAAAAACAAAUAUUUUUUAUAUGCUCUCCCCACUCUUCCCAUAGUUUGUGUGGUUGUACUGCAUCUGCCUUGUAAGAACAUGUAGUUAUUAUAUACUAUAAUCUCCCCCAUUUAACACUUAUUAUAGUCUUAACUCUUCAAUUAAUACAUAUUAAGUGUUCAUCAUUUCUUAUGCGAUUGCCUAUCUAGUCAUUUUUGUUGUCUUGCACAUUCCCUAGUAGAUUCUUCAGAAGGAGUUUAUGAGAAUAAUGCUCCCUGAGUUUUUGUACGCAGAUGGAAGUUUAUCUGCAAACUUUUACUUGAGAAACAGUUUGUAUAAAAUUCUUGGGUCCCCUUUUCUUUCUUUGAGUAACUUAAGUUUGCUAUACUGGGCAUAAAGCAUUGCCAUUAAAGUCUGAUUAAAAUAUGAUUUUCCCUUUGCCUGGAUGCUCACAGAAUUUUCCCCCCAGUAUUUUUCCAGUAAUGUUGCUAGAGUAUGUUUUUGUGUUGGUUAUUCUGAUUCAGUAUUCCCAACUAAUGUGGUGUGUUCUUUCAUUAGGUAGUGUCAGAUCUUUUUUUAUUCUUCAUUCCAGGAAUUAACGUUUUUAGUAUUUGUUCUAUCCUCUUGUUUGGGUUUUCUUCUUUGGGGGCUAUUACAUAUCUUCUGUAUUUUCAGUUUUGCUUGGAUUCUUCUAUUUCUUGCUGAUUUUUCCCUUUUUUAAAAAAUCUUCUCUUUCACUUCAGGCAUUAGCUCUUUUUGUUUAUUCACUGUUAAUGAUCUGCCUAGUUGAGUGUUUCCUGAAAUUAUUUUACAAAUAUUACAAAUUACUUCCUCAGUUUUAAUACCCAAUUUCUGAGUUUUUCUAAUUUCAACGUAUACUAUUGUUGUUAGGUGCUGUUGAGUUGUUCCAACUCAUAGCGACCCUAUGCACAACAGAACGAAACACUGCCUGGUCCUUUGCCAUCCUCACAAUCAUUGUUAUGUUUGAG
This is a long non-coding RNA of Trichechus manatus latirostris (Florida manatee), 3798 nucleotides long. RefSeq lists it as uncharacterized. The transcript is spliced from 3 exons. NCBI's taxonomy places the organism in Eukaryota, Metazoa, Chordata, Mammalia, Sirenia, Trichechidae. The record is from RefSeq and is a predicted model, not a curated record.